RNAcentral lists this ribosomal RNA (443 nucleotides) under uncultured bacterium. RNAcentral's name for it is "partial 16S ribosomal RNA". It matches the Rfam family "Bacterial small subunit ribosomal RNA", at positions 338 to 795 of the family's 1533-position model. The record is from RNAcentral.
CCUACGGGAGGCAGCAGUGAGGAAUAUUGGGCAAUGGGCGCAAGCCUGACCCAGCAACGCCGCGUGAAGGAAGAAGGCUUUCGGGUUGUAAACUUCUUUUCUCAGGGACGAAGAAAGUGACGGUACCUGAGGAAUAAGCCACGGCUAACUACGUGCCAGCAGCCGCGGUAAUACGUAGGUGGCAAGCGUUAUCCGGAUUUAUUGGGUGUAAAGGGCGUGUAGGCGGGAGCGCAAGUCAGAUGUGAAAACUCAGGGCUCAACCCUGAGCCUGCAUUUGAAACUGUGUUUCUUGAGUGCUGGGGAGGCAAUCGGAAUUCGGUGUGUAGCGGUGAAAUGCGUAGAUAUACGGAGGAACACCAGUGGCGAAGGCGGAUUGCUGGACAGUAACUGACGCUGAGGCGCGAAAGCGUGGGGAGCAAACAGGAUUAGAUACCCCUGUAGUC